Molecule: ribosomal RNA, 372 nt
Filed under: uncultured organism
Description: partial 16S ribosomal RNA
Rfam family: Bacterial small subunit ribosomal RNA
Source: RNAcentral
GUAGGGACCAAGCGUUGUCCGGAAUUAUUGGGCGUAAAGAGCUCGUAGGCGGUUCGGUAAGUCGGGUGUGAAAAUCCAGGGCUUAACCCUGGGACGCCACCCGAUACUGCUGUGACUAGAGUCCGGUAGAGGAGCGUGGAAUUUCUGGUGUAGCGGUGAAAUGCGCAGAUAUCAGAAGGAACACCAGCGGCGAAGGCGGCGCUCUGGGCCGGUACUGACGCUGAGGAGCGAAAGCGUGGGGAGCAAACAGGAUUAGAUACCCUGGUAGUCCACGCCGUAAACGUUGGGCACUAGGUAUGGGUCUUAUCAACGGAUUCCGUGCCGUAGCUAACGCAUUAAGUGCCCCGCCUGGGGAGUACGGCCGCAAGGCUA